AUGCUGCGCUCAUUGCUCAAUUUCCUCUUUAACGUUACUAACCCUGUGACGCUUUCCCUGCUUCUCUUUCUCUCUCUUACUCUCUCUUCCUUCUCCUGUUCAUGUCGCAGUCACGACUUUUGUGGUUUAGUGGAGUUAGUGUCGCUGAAAGGGACUCUGUGUUUUCUGUGGUCUAGAGAUCGUAUGGGAUAGGAAUGUCGCCAAUAGCUAGGAGCAUGGGCUGGCCCUGAGCAAUGUGAGAUGGAAUUAGCUUCGUGGACGUCGGGUGUGCGGGCUACCAAUGCUGUAGUCACGAAUGGUUUGUAGUGAUCAACAGUUUCGCGCAGUAGAUGUCGACGGUUUGCACAUGCCUGGCCGAUCCAACGUGUUGCACAUGGUGCGGGGCGAUCUCGUAGAGCCAGCCGUGUCAUACUAAGUUAGUGUUUUUGGUUCAGGUCUGCGUGAAGGAGUGUGUGUACGACGCACUUGUGAUUGUAGUUUCAGGAACUCUUAGGGGAGUUGCAUAUAUUAUUUGUAUUUUCGGUGACACACAGGGGCAACUUGCAGCAGCUGAAGCACUAUAGUUGCUGCGAUCGACCUAUUCGCGCAGUGGGGGGAUUGCAACACGCGACGAUCGACGCAUUUUUUGGAGUGUAUUGCAGUCUUAGGGUUUCAGGAUACUCAAGGGAGGGUUACUUACAGAGGCAGUCACAAUGCCUCUGUUUAUGACCGAAUCGGAACUGGAGGCGGAAGGUGGUAAUGUAGACGCGAUAGUGGCAAAGGCUGACGCAUUCAUUCGGGUGUUACAACAACAGCUUGAGACGCACAAGCAGGCCUGCUUUGAUGUCGAGGAGAUGUUCCUCACGGCUGAGAAGAAUGGAAAGGACGCUGCUAGGGCUUUGGAGGAGUUGAAGGAGCUAAACCUUGACUUGGAAGCGAAGCUUGAACAAACCAACAAGGAGCUGAGUUCCUUGAAAAAGGGUCGCGGUGGAAGAGAUCAUAGAUCCGGGGCCAAAGUUGCUCCGGAAGUCGACUCCAAGGAAAAGCUUCACAAGCUGUCAGCUAAGGCCAAACCUACGCCGGUGAAGGCCAAAGAAGAAGCAUGUACAUCAUCAGAAAAUGGUGCUCCAGCCCGAGCUUCUGAGUUUUGUGAGAAAGCAAACGGUAAGGAUCCCACCCAAAAUGGUCGCACUCAUGCGGAUCAGAGAGCGCCUGUCUCUGCCCGAAAUGCCAACCCAACGCACUUCACACCCACAUCUGCCCCAGUUGGCGAUGGAAUUCUCUCAUUAGAGCUGUCUAAGGAGGAUCAAGAUGCACUGGAGACACUGAACAAGGAGGACGCAAAGCUGGGGGAAGAAAUGGCCGCACUCAAGAGUAAAGGCGGCAACACAUCCGGCUUCAGCUUCAAGAGCCACGAACGAGCAGAGAAGCGACGGGAGUUCUAUUCGAAACUGGAGGAGAAGAUGCGAGCCAAGGAAGAAGAGAAGAACCAAAUCGAGGCGAAGACACAAGAGGAGAUGGAGAACAAGGUGAAGGAGUUACGAAAGGGUCUGAAGUUCAAAGCCACUCCGUUGCCAAGCUUCUACCAAGAAUCCGGCCCUCUAAAAGUAGAAGUGAAGAAGAUUCCACCAACUCGAGCAAGGUCUCCCAAGCUCACCACAUCACGAAGAGCUAGUCAUGGGGGAGUGGGGACAGAGCAUGAUCGCUCAAAAUCUCCAGUGGCUAGAAUUAAGGUCUCCACCGAUCAUGCUUCUAAGAACGGUUCGAAGGAUGAGACGAAGAAGUCACUUCCACGACGUCCAAAGAGUAGUGCUGCCUUAUCUAGGCGUGUAAGUCUCGACUCAGGCCUGGCGAAGCUUGCUGCCGGAGCACCCAGCAAGGACAAAGCAACGAAUGCAGUGGUACCGGAAGUGGCAGUCGCAUUCUAGAGAAGCAGCAUCAAUGUGCCGGUGUCGUGUAGGAUCUGGCGGCCGUAGAAGUUCCAGUGGAUUUUGUGUCCUUUUUGUAAAAAUGAGGGUUGUGAUACUUCAAAUCCAGUAGUAGUGGUUUGUUCAGAAGGAUAUGAACAUGCUUGUUACCACUCACAGGAGACCAUUGACACGAGAUGUGUGCAUCCCGUCAUCGAUGUGCGUCCCAGCGUGAGCUUCUUUCCUGGUUUGACGAUUCUACCCCAUCCUGUUGUCGAUAUGCCCUGCGCCCCACAUCAUCGAUUGUUUCGCUCAUUACAAACAGUAUUGGGUGGUGCAAUUAUGUGAACCAAUUUUUCUUUCUUCUUGUUGGUUCAUUUAUUCGAGGUGAGUUACAUCUUCCAAUGGCACUCUGAUUGUAUGAUCUUUUGGGUUUGAUCUCACAUGAUAAUAUUCUCAAACACAGAACGUAACAGCAAUGUAAAUGUCAAAGUGCACGGCAUUGAGGCUUGUUUUACCAGGACUCAAGCCACUUUCCAUGGAAUUAAAUGCACUCCUAAUGAUUAAAUUGCAGUAAAAACAAGUGUUGGUGCAUCAGAUUAUUUAGUGUAAACAAUUCGAACUGAAUUCCAUUUGUGCAAGUGGGGACUUGACUGGAAGCCUACAAGAUGUUUCAAAAUCGAUCUAUUGAAGUGGGGGACUGCAUUUAAUAAACGGUGAUACCUUGCUGAA
Non-coding RNA from Physcomitrium patens, 2618 nucleotides. Lineage: Eukaryota; Viridiplantae; Streptophyta; Bryopsida; Funariales; Funariaceae. The record is from RefSeq and is a predicted model, not a curated record.